RNAcentral lists this ribosomal RNA (809 nucleotides) under uncultured bacterium. RNAcentral's name for it is "bacterial SSU rRNA". It matches the Rfam family "Bacterial small subunit ribosomal RNA", at positions 61 to 865 of the family's 1533-position model. The record is from RNAcentral.
GUCGAGGGGCAGCAUUUUUAUAGCAAUAUAAAAGAUGGCGACCGGCGCACGGGUGCGUAACGCGUAUGUAACCUACCUUAAACAGGGGGAUAACACCGAGAAAUUGGUACUAAUACCCCAUAAUACUAUUAGAGGCAUCUCUGAUGGUUGAAAGUUCCGGCGGUUUAAGAUGGACAUGCGUUGUAUUAGUUAGUUGGUGAGGUAACGGCUCACCAAGACGACGAUACAUAGGGGGACUGAGAGGUUAACCCCCCACAUUGGUACUGAGACACGGACCAAACUCCUACGGGAGGCAGCAGUGAGGAAUAUUGGUCAAUGGACGCAAGUCUGAACCAGCCAUGCCGCGUGCAGGAUGACGGCUCUAUGAGUUGUAAACUGCUUUUGUACGAGGGUAAUAUCAGAUACGUGUAUCUGCUUGAAAGUAUCGUACGAAUAAGGAUCGGCUAACUCCGUGCCAGCAGCCGCGGUAAUACGGAGGAUCCAAGCGUUAUCCGGAUUUAUUGGGUUUAAAGGGUGCGUAGGCGGUUUUAUAAGUUAGAGGUGAAAAUUCGGGGCUCAACUCCGGACGUGCCUCUAAUACUGUAUGACUAGAGAAUAGAUGCGGUAGGCGGAAUGUAUGGUGUAGCGGUGAAAUGCGUAGAGAUCAUACAGAACACCGAUUGCGAAGGCAGCUUACCAAACUAUAUCUGACGUUGAGGCACGAAAGCGUGGGGAGCAAACAGGAUUAGAUACCCUGGUAGUCCACGCAGUAAACGAUGAUAGCUCGUUGUCGGCGAUACAUUGUCGGUGACUAAGAGAAAUCGUUAAGC